Molecule: ribosomal RNA, 253 nt
Filed under: uncultured bacterium
Lineage: Bacteria
Description: partial 16S ribosomal RNA
Rfam family: Bacterial small subunit ribosomal RNA
Source: RNAcentral
UACGGAGGGUGCGAGCGUUGUCCGGAAUCACUGGGCGUAAAGGGCGCGUAGGCGGCCUGGCAAGUCGAUGGUGAAAGCCCGAGGCUCAACUUCGGGUCGGCCACUGAUACUGCUAGGCUUGAGUCGACUAGAGGCAGAUGGAAUUCCGGGUGUAGCGGUGGAAUGCGUAGAGAUCCGGAAGAACACCGGUGGCGAAGGCGGUCUGCUGGGGUCGAACUGACGCUGAGACGCGAAAGCGUGGGGAGCAAACAGG